RNAcentral lists this unclassified non-coding RNA (160 nucleotides) under Pestalotia lambertiae. RNAcentral describes it as "sequence contains ITS2". Lineage: Eukaryota; Fungi; Ascomycota; Sordariomycetes; Amphisphaeriales; Amphisphaeriaceae. The record is from RNAcentral.
CAACCCUUAAGCCUAGCUUAGUGUUGGGAAUCUACUUCUUUUAUUAGUUGUAGUUCCUGAAAUACAACGGCGGAUUUGUAGUAUCCUCUGAGCGUAGUAAUUCUUUUCUCGCUUUUGUUAGGUGCUAUAACUCCCAGCCGCUAAACCCCCAAUUUUUUGU